GAAAUGCGAUAAGUAAUGUGAAUUGCAGAAUUCAGUGAAUCAUCGAAUCUUUGAACGCACAUUGCGCCCCCUGGCAUUCCGGGGGGCAUGCCUGUUCGAGCGUCAUUUCAACCCUCAAGCGCUGCUUGGUGUUGGGCCCCUUGCCAGCGAUGGCAGGCCCUAAAGUCAGUGGCGGUGCCGCUGGGCCCUGAGCGUAGUAUACCCCUCGCUACUGGGCUUCGGCGUGCUGGCUGUCCAUAACCCCCCAAUUUUCCAUGGUUGACCUCGGAUCAGGUAGGAGUACCCGCUGAACUUAA
RNAcentral lists this unclassified non-coding RNA (296 nucleotides) under uncultured Ascomycota. RNAcentral's name for it is "sequence contains ITS1". The stretch from base 1 to 105 matches the Rfam family "5.8S ribosomal RNA", at positions 50 to 154 of the family's 154-position model. The record is from RNAcentral. Lineage: Eukaryota; Fungi; Ascomycota.